UUCCGGGAAAAAGUUUCGGUUUUUCUGUUGUCUGCGAUGAGGGGCCUGUGAGGAUUUUGUGGGGUAUCUCUUUUCCUAUGUGGGUUUCGAGAUUGGUCAGAGUACUUUGCAUGCCUCUGUCGUACGGUUAAUUUCUAUUCUGUCUCGGUCAUGCUAAGUGGAAGUGGCAUCCAGUUGUUUCGAUCGUAAAUUGCUUCCUUGACGAGAGAGCUUCAGAGUUCUCCAGUUGAUUGAGUAGAGAGGAUUUGAUUUUUUUUUGCGAUCGGUGGUCCACCACUUGAGAAUUUCCGCGUAUAACCUGUGUAUCUGCGUGCAUUAAGAAUAAAGAUCGGAGCUUGUGCAUCAGAGCAUGAAUGUCUUAAGUGAAAGCUGCUGACUUACAGAAGAAUUGGUUUAAUGGGAUUCGAAUUUGUCUUUACUGCAUUGGUUAUGGUGAAUGGAUAUUGGUGCUUGUGGGGAUAUAAUCAGCAUCCGAGUCAUAUGUUCAGUGAGGAUUUCCUCUUAAUGCUGAUGUUUGAAGGCGCAAGAUAUGGAGGUUGAUUCUGUAUGAGAUGACUUUGUACAGGAGGAGGGAACUGGAAUAUCCUUGGCCUGUCAAUUGCAUUUCUUUGCUUCUCAGGAUAUGUGUGUGGAUGCUUGCUGACUCAAUAUUUAUAAUUUGCAUUAUACGAAAUUGAAGGUUGUGGACUUCUAUCUUGGACCAUCAAUCAUCUCUUUUCAUUCAGUGUAGAUGGAAACUGGGGAAUAGUUAAUCUUUAGUUAAGAUCUGCAAUGCAAAGAUAGGCUUCAUUGUAUUGUUUAGGAAAUGCUUGAGAAUGCUGAUUUUCUCUUGAACCGAUAUGUUGUUACGUGCGUGGAUAAGGUUUAAGGAUCAUGAUGUUUGCUUAAUGCAAUAUCCAGUUGAUACUUUGAGAUUAAAAAAUGAUGGUACAAAAUUCAUCAGGCGUUGGUUAAAUCUGCAUUGAAGUUGAAACUCCUGGGAAGCUGUUGAGUCUCACAGUCUUUGUUUAUUACAUUAUUGUCGGGUAGCUAUUGUUACGAAUUUCUUUGUUGGGAUCGGCGCGUUUUUCUUCCAUCCAUGGUUUGUGCAAUAUGAGAAUGCAUGCAUCUGUUCUGCUCUAAUCAUUGUCCAAAGUGCAUAUAUAUUUUCCUGUAGACUGCAAAUGCAUUAUAACAGAACAGUUUAAACCAGUCAAGAAAUAAUGGGUCUUGUGAGACACUAUAACAGUAUAUUACUUGUUGUGUUGAAUUUAGUGGCAUGUAGUCCUUAGAAAUGCUUACUGCUUUGAUAACGUGAAAAGGAGCACAUGUUGUCAGUGAUGUGUCAAGAGCCUGGCUUCGAGGGCAUCACCUGCUGCUUGAAGAAAAGAAACUAAGCUUGUGGAUGUUGGAAUCUUGAGUGGAGAGAUGUUUCCACUUUAUAUAAGAAGUGUUCUUCGUUAGGACUUUAUGAAUGCUUGCUUAUCUAGAAAUGGUCGUGUCUAACUAGUUUGUUAUUGGAUGAACCAG
Rhodamnia argentea is the source of this 1509-nucleotide long non-coding RNA. RefSeq lists it as uncharacterized. NCBI's taxonomy places the organism in Eukaryota, Viridiplantae, Streptophyta, Magnoliopsida, Myrtales, Myrtaceae. The transcript is spliced from 2 exons. The record is from RefSeq and is a predicted model, not a curated record.